GAGGGUAUAGCUCAGUGGUAGAGCAUAUGCUUAGCAUGCAUGAGGUCCUGGGUUCAAUCCCCAGUACCUCCA
Molecule: transfer RNA, 72 nt
Filed under: Camelus bactrianus (Bactrian camel)
Lineage: Eukaryota; Metazoa; Chordata; Mammalia; Artiodactyla; Camelidae
Also listed under: 3 other names
Rfam family: tRNA
About the family: Transfer RNA (tRNA) molecules are approximately 80 nucleotides in length. Their secondary structure includes four short double-helical elements and three loops (D, anti-codon, and T loops). Further hydrogen bonds mediate the characteristic L-shaped molecular structure. tRNAs have two regions of fundamental functional importance: the anti-codon, which is responsible for specific mRNA codon recognition, and the 3' end, to which the tRNAs corresponding amino acid is attached (by aminoacyl-tRNA synthetases). tRNAs cope with the degeneracy of the genetic code in two manners: having more than one tRNA (with a specific anti-codon) for a particular amino acid; and 'wobble' base-pairing, i.e. permitting non-standard base-pairing at the 3rd anti-codon position.
Source: Rfam by way of RNAcentral